RNAcentral lists this transfer RNA (45 nucleotides) under Lycosa singoriensis. RNAcentral's name for it is "tRNA-Phe". The record is from RNAcentral. Lineage: Eukaryota; Metazoa; Arthropoda; Arachnida; Araneae; Lycosidae.
AAUAAUUUAGCUUAUUAAAGCACUUUACUGAAGAUAAAGAAAACU